GAAAAGAAUCGCUCCUCCACUCCUCCAUUCGUUUCUGAUGGUCUAACCCGACAAACCCUAAUUUCCCGUCCCCCACUUUGGUCUCAUCACCAAAGAAAUCCCUCCUCCACUCCGGCAAAUCUCAGCUGCAACUCCGGUGAAUCGACUCACCGUUGCACCUCCUCCCUGUCGUCGGUGUUCAUCUUCCUUCUCCUUACAAGAAAUCUGGGUAUCUCAAUCUAAUCACUCUCUUCUCGCAGAAACAAAGUGAAUCACCUCACCGGAAUCUCGAGUCCGCGUCUUGCCGUUUCAAACAGAGAUAUCUUCGAUUUUGUUACCUUUCAUCUUGAUUCCUCGACCUAAUCGAUUUUAAGGUGAUGCAGUGAAGACGAUCCUUGAUUUCAUCACAGAGUGUGGAGCUUCACAUUUGGUUACUGACUUCUUUCCUUUACCAAAAAUUAGAAGCUGUAGAGACGAGGUUGUGAAGAGAACGAGUGAUUCAUCAUCCACCGUCACGACUCAAACCUUGAAGGUUAAGUGUUCUUGCUCUAUGUUCUUGUGCAGAAAGUAACCUCUGGCGACCCUAAAUUAAUCGUUCUCUCCUUGCUCUUUCCCAUACACUAUGUUAUGUUCAAGUUGUUGACUAUUGUGGCUACUGUCAUCAUAUUUAAGGAUAUGCACAAGAGGUUGUUAAAAUGGUUGUCUUCUUUUCAAGUUCCACCUCCGGGUAAAGGUUUCUUAUAUAAUAGACCAUUCCAAAUGGGAAGUUCUUGGUCUUACGCAUGCACCAGACUACACUUUCCUUGCUUGACUAGUGGAUACUUAGUGAGAGUUGUUAUGAUUUUGGAUUUAGUUACCGGUAAUCGUUAUGUAUUUGUUACGUCGGAUUCUUGUAAACAAUAGUAAAUGAAUUUUAGCUGUGAAUUGUUUCACUCUUUUCUCAUGA
Long non-coding RNA from Raphanus sativus (radish), 925 nucleotides. RefSeq lists it as uncharacterized. The transcript has 3 exons. The record is from RefSeq and is a predicted model, not a curated record. NCBI's taxonomy places the organism in Eukaryota, Viridiplantae, Streptophyta, Magnoliopsida, Brassicales, Brassicaceae.